GGCUCGGUGGUGGAUGAUUCAUGUCUGCUCUCUUUAUGUGCGUGAGAAAAAUGUUAGCCAGCAGGAGUAGCCUGUUCGAAUCAGGCCCGAGCCA
This is a non-coding RNA of Mycena latifolia, 94 nucleotides long. The record is from the annotation of a GenBank genome assembly. Lineage: Eukaryota; Fungi; Basidiomycota; Agaricomycetes; Agaricales; Mycenaceae.